Molecule: ribosomal RNA, 732 nt
Filed under: Salmonella enterica
Lineage: Bacteria; Pseudomonadati; Pseudomonadota; Gammaproteobacteria; Enterobacterales; Enterobacteriaceae
Also listed under: 7 other names
Description: partial 23S ribosomal RNA
Rfam family: Bacterial large subunit ribosomal RNA
Source: RNAcentral
UGUUUGAUGUUCUAACGUGGACCCGUGAUCCGGGUUGCGGACAGUGUCUGGUGGGUAGUUUGACUGGGGCGGUCUCCUCCUAAAGAGUAACGGAGGAGCACGAAGGUUGGCUAAUCCUGGUCGGACAUCAGGAGGUUAGUGCAAUGGCAUAAGCCAGCUUGACUGCGAGCGUGACGGCGCGAGCAGGUGCGAAAGCAGGUCAUAGUGAUCCGGUGGUUCUGAAUGGAAGGGCCAUCGCUCAACGGAUAAAAGGUACUCCGGGGAUAACAGGCUGAUACCGCCCAAGAGUUCAUAUCGACGGCGGUGUUUGGCACCUCGAUGUCGGCUCAUCACAUCCUGGGGCUGAAGUAGGUCCCAAGGGUAUGGCUGUUCGCCAUUUAAAGUGGUACGCGAGCUGGGUUUAGAACGUCGUGAGACAGUUCGGUCCCUAUCUGCCGUGGGCGCUGGAGAACUGAGGGGGGCUGCUCCUAGUACGAGAGGACCGGAGUGGACGCAUCACUGGUGUUCGGGUUGUCAUGCCAAUGGCACUGCCCGGUAGCUAAAUGCGGAAGAGAUAAGUGCUGAAAGCAUCUAAGCACGAAACUUGCCCCGAGAUGAGUUCUCCCUGAGACUUUAGGUCUCCUGAAGGAACGUUGAAGACGACGACGUUGAUAGGCCGGGUGUGUAAGCGCAGCGAUGCGUUGAGCUAACCGGUACUAAUGAACCGUGAGGCUUAACCUUACAACGCCGAAG